UGUCCCCAUGGCACAGGGUCCAGCUGUCGGCCAUAUACCCGAUGGGUCGAUGAUGGUCCCUGUGUUUUGGGGCA
MicroRNA precursor from Ovis aries (sheep), 74 nucleotides. It matches the Rfam family "mir-2320 microRNA precursor family". NCBI's taxonomy places the organism in Eukaryota, Metazoa, Chordata, Mammalia, Artiodactyla, Bovidae. The record is from Rfam.